Molecule: ribosomal RNA, 407 nt
Filed under: uncultured bacterium
Lineage: Bacteria
Description: partial 16S ribosomal RNA
Rfam family: Bacterial small subunit ribosomal RNA
Source: RNAcentral
GACGAACGCUGGCGGCGUGCCUAAUACAUGCAAGUAGAACGCAGUUGCGCACGGGUGAGUAACGCGUAGGUCACUGCCUGGUAGCGGGGGAUAACUAUUGGAAGCGAUAGCUACUACCGCCUACUACCAGAUCGACCUGCGUUGUAUUAGCUAGUUGGUGGGGCAAAGGCUCACCAAGGCAACGAUACAUAGCCGAGUUGGGGGGGUGGUCGGCCACAAUGGGACUGAGAAACGGGCCAGACUCCUACGGGAAGCAGCAGGAGGGAAUCAUCGGCAAUGGGCGGAAGUCUGACCGAGCAACGCCGGGUGAGUGAAGAAGGGUUUCGGAUCGUAAAGCUCUGUUGUAAGAGAAGCGUUAUCUUACCAGAAAGGGACGGCUAACUACGUGCCAGCAGCCGCGGUAAUUC